UAGAGUUUGAUCCUGGCUCAGGAUGAACGCUGACAGAAUGCUUAACACAUGCAAGUCGACUCGAGUCUUCGGACUUGGGUGGCGCACGGGUGAGUAACGCGUAAAGAACUUGCCUCUUAGACCGGGACAACAUCUGGAAACGGAUGCUAAUACCGGAUAUUAUGGUUUCUUCGCAUGGAGGAAUCAUGAAAGCUAGAUGCGCUAAGAGAGAGCUUUGCGUCCCAUUAGCUGGUUGGUGAGGUAACGGCCCACCAAGGCAAUGAUGGGUAGCCGGCCUGAGAGGGUGAACGGCCACAAGGGGACUGAGACACGGCCCUUACUCCUACGGGAGGCAGCAGUGGGGAAUAUUGGACAAUGGACCACAAGUCUGAUCCAGCAAUUCUGUGUGCACGAUGACGUUUUUCGGAAUGUAAAGUGCUUUCAGUCGGGAAGAAGUCAGUGACGGUACCGACAGAAGAAGCGACGGCUAAAUACGUGCCAGCAGCCGCGGUAAUACGUAUGUCGCAAGCGUUAUCCGGAUUUAUUGGGCGUAAAGCGCGUCUAGGCGGCAAGGAAAGUCUGAUGUGAAAAUGCGGAGCUCAACUCCGUAUGGCGUUGGAAACUGCCUUACUAGAGUACUGGAGAGGUAGGCGGAACUACAAGUGUAGAGGUGAAAUUCGUAGAUAUUUGUAGGAAUGCCGAUGGGGAAGCCAGCCUACUGGACAGAUACUGACGCUAAAGCGCGAAAGCGUGGGUAGCAAACAGGAUUAGAUACCCUGGUAGUCCACGCUGUAAACGAUGAUUACUAGGUGUUGGGGGUCAAACCUCAGCGCCCAAGCUAACGCGAUAAGUAAUCCGCCUGGGGAGUACGUACGCAAGUAUGAAACUCAAAGGAAUUGACGG
This 882-nucleotide ribosomal RNA is filed under the name uncultured bacterium. RNAcentral describes it as "bacterial SSU rRNA". It matches the Rfam family "Bacterial small subunit ribosomal RNA", at positions 1 to 916 of the family's 1533-position model. The record is from RNAcentral.